This 497-nucleotide ribosomal RNA is filed under the name uncultured bacterium. RNAcentral's name for it is "partial 16S ribosomal RNA". It matches the Rfam family "Bacterial small subunit ribosomal RNA", at positions 28 to 507 of the family's 1533-position model. The record is from RNAcentral.
GAUGAACGCUGGCGGCGUGCCUAAUACAUGCAAGUCGAGCGAACGGACGAGAAGCUUACUUCUCUGAUGUUAGCGGCGGACGGGAGAGUAACACGUGGAUAACCUACCUAUAAGACUGGGAUGACUUCGGGAAAACGUAGCUAAUACCGGAUAAUAUUUUGUACCGCGUGGUUCGAAAGUGAAAGUCGGUCGUACUGUCAGUAAUAGAUGCAUCAGCGCUGCAUUAGCUAGUUGGUAAGGUAACGGCUUACCAAGGCAACGAUGCAUAUCCGACCUGAGAGGGUGAUCGGCCACACUGGAACUGAGACACGGUACAGACUCCUACGGGAGGCAGCAGUAGGGAAUCUUCCGCAAUGGGCGAAAGCCUGACGGAGCAACGCCGCGUGAGUGAUGAAGGUCUUCGGAUCGUAAAACUCUGUUAUUAGGGAAGAACAUAUGUGUAAGUAACUGUGCACAUCUUGACGGUACCUAAUCAGAAAGCCACGGCUAACUACGUG